UUUAGAUGUAAAUUAUAUAUAUAUAUAUAUAUAAAUUAAUUAUUAAUAGAUAUGAACUUUAAAUUUAAAAAAAUUGGCGGUAUUUAAAACUAAUUAGGGGGGUUUGUUUAAUAAACGAUGAUCCGCGUGAAAUCUUACUUUAAUUUAUUUAAUUUAUUUAUUUUCGUUAACAGAAUAUUUUUUAAGAAUUAUUAAAUUUUCAAAAAAUUUAAUUAAAAAUUUUAUUUCAGAUCAAGAUGUAGUUUAUAUUAAAGUUUAAAUGAAUUACAAUAAAUUUUAUUUUUAGAUAUUAAAUUUAAAUAUUUAAUUGAAAUUGGACUUAAUAGUAAAUAAAAAUACAAUAUUUUUUUGAAUUUAGAAUUAAAUAUGU
Molecule: ribosomal RNA, 370 nt
Filed under: Monoctenus juniperi
Lineage: Eukaryota; Metazoa; Arthropoda; Insecta; Hymenoptera; Diprionidae
Description: partial 12S ribosomal RNA
Source: RNAcentral